Molecule: ribosomal RNA, 1036 nt
Filed under: Nectria sp. (in: ascomycete fungi)
Lineage: Eukaryota; Fungi; Ascomycota; Sordariomycetes; Hypocreales; Nectriaceae
Description: SSU rRNA
Rfam family: Eukaryotic small subunit ribosomal RNA
Source: RNAcentral
UCUAGUAUAGCAAUUAUACCGCGAAACUGCGAAUGGCUCAUUAUAUAAGUUAUCGUUUAUUUGAUAGUACCUUACUACUUGGAUAACCGUGGUAAUUCUAGAGCUAAUACAUGCUAAAAACCCCGACUUCGGAAGGGGUGUAUUUAUUAGAUUAAAAACCAAUGCCCUUCGGGGCUCUCUGGUGAUUCAUGAUAACUUCUCGAAUCGCACGGCCUUGCGCCGGCGAUGGUUCAUUCAAAUUUCUUCCCUAUCAACUUUCGAUGUUUGGGUCUUGGCCAAACAUGGUUGCAACGGGUAACGGAGGGUUAGGGCUCGACCCCGGAGAAGGAGCCUGAGAAACGGCUACUACAUCCAAGGAAGGCAGCAGGCGCGCAAAUUACCCAAUCCCGACUCGGGGAGGUAGUGACAAUAAAUACUGAUGCAGGGCUCUUUUGGGUCUUGCAAUUGGAAUGAGUACAAUUUAAAUCCCUUAACGAGGAACAAUUGGAGGGCAAGUCUGGUGCCAGCAGCCGCGGUAAUUCCAGCUCCAAUAGCGUAUAUUAAAGUUGUUGUGGUUAAAAAGCUCGUAGUUGAACCUUGGGCCUGGCUGGCCGGUCCGCCUCACCGCGUGUACUGGUCCGGCCGGGCCUUUCCCUCUGUGGAACCCCAUGCCCUUCACUGGGCGUGGCGGGGAAACAGGACUUUUACUUUGAAAAAAUUAGAGUGCUCCAGGCAGGCCUAUGCUCGAAUACAUUAGCAUGGAAUAAUAAAAUAGGACGUGUGGUUCUAUUUUGUUGGUUUCUAGGACCGCCGUAAUGAUUAAUAGGGACAGUCGGGGGCAUCAGUAUUCAAUUGUCAGAGGUGAAAUUCUUGGAUUUAUUGAAGACUAACUACUGCGAAAGCAUUUGCCAAGGAUGUUUUCAUUAAUCAGGAACGAAAGUUAGGGGAUCGAAGACGAUCAGAUACCGUCGUAGUCUUAACCAUAAACUAUGCCGACUAGGGAUCGGACGAUGUUAUUUUUUGACUCGUUCGGCACCUUACGAGAAAUCAAAGUGCU